This 331-nucleotide ribosomal RNA is filed under the name uncultured eukaryote. Its description in RNAcentral is "partial 18S ribosomal RNA". It matches the Rfam family "Eukaryotic small subunit ribosomal RNA", at positions 1470 to 1796 of the family's 1831-position model. The record is from RNAcentral.
CCCUUAGAUGUUCUGGGCCACACACGCGCUACACUGGCAGGUUCAUCGAGCUUCAUGCCCUGAUCUGAGAAGAACGGGAAAUCUUUGAACACCUGCCGUGCUUGGGAUAGAUGUUUGCAAUUAUUCAUCUUCAACGAGGAUUGCCUUGUAAGCGCACGUCAUCAGCGUGCAUUGAAUACGACCCUGUAUUCUGUACACACCGCCCGUCGCUCCUACCGAUUGAAGUUUUCGGUGAAUUUACUGGAGAUCCCUUUUGAAGGUGGUUCGCCACUGGAAGAAGUAUUCAAAAGUAAAUGAAUCGAAUGCUUUAGAGGAAGGAGAAGUCGUAACA